GGAGUUGUGGCUCAGUGGUAGAAUGCUCGCCUAGCAAGCGUGAGGCCCUGGGUUCUAACCUCAGCACCA
This 69-nucleotide transfer RNA is filed under the name Ictidomys tridecemlineatus (thirteen-lined ground squirrel). Its description in RNAcentral is "Spermophilus tridecemlineatus (thirteen-lined ground squirrel) tRNA". It matches the Rfam family "tRNA". From Rfam's summary of the family: Transfer RNA (tRNA) molecules are approximately 80 nucleotides in length. Their secondary structure includes four short double-helical elements and three loops (D, anti-codon, and T loops). Lineage: Eukaryota; Metazoa; Chordata; Mammalia; Rodentia; Sciuridae. The record is from Rfam by way of RNAcentral.